UACGGGGGGGGCAAGCGUUGUUCGGAGUUACUGGGCGUAAAGGGUGGGCAGGCGGCCGUGUCAGAUGGGUGUGAAAUCUCCCGGCUCAACCGGGAGGGGCCACUCGUGACUGCACGGCUGGAGGGCAGCAGAGGCGCGUGGAAUUCCGGGUGGAGUGGUGAAAUGCGUAGAGAUCCGGAGGAACACCAGAGGCGAAGGCGGCGCGCUGGGCUGCACCUGACGCUGAACCACGAAAGCCAGGGUAGCGAACGGG
RNAcentral lists this ribosomal RNA (253 nucleotides) under uncultured bacterium. Its description in RNAcentral is "partial 16S ribosomal RNA". It matches the Rfam family "Bacterial small subunit ribosomal RNA", at positions 524 to 776 of the family's 1533-position model. The record is from RNAcentral.